UUAUUUGAAAUAGGAUACAACCUCUAACACCGGGUAAAUAAAAGUGGUCUAAAUAAAGUGGGCCUAAAAGCAGCCACCUUUAAAAAAGCGUUACAGCUUAACUACCCCCACACCUAAUUUAUUAAUCUCCCCCCAACCCUUCACCAGUACUGAACUAUUUUAUACUCUAUAAAAACUAUUAUGCUAGAACUAGUAACAAGAAUACUGCCCUUCUCCUAAAUGCAAGUAUAAACCAAUAUGGACACCCCCUUGGUACUUAACGCAAAUGCACAAAAUAUAGUAAUACACAUCUAGAAAACCCUAUAAUCCCAAACGUUAACCUUACACUAGAACAUUACAGGAAAGAUUAAAAGAGAGAGAAGGAACUCGGCAAACCUCAGCCCCGCCUGUUUACCAAAAACAUCGCCUCUUGAUCAACAUAAGAGGUCCAGCCUGCCCAGUGACAAAGUUCAACGGCCGCGGUAACCUAACCGUGCGAAGGUAGCAUAAUCACUUGUUCCCUAAAUAGGGACUCGUAUCAACGGCAUCACGAGGGCUGUACUGUCUCCUCCCUCCAAUCAGUGAAACUGAUCUCCCCGUGAAGAAGCGGGGAUGUAAUU
Molecule: ribosomal RNA, 599 nt
Filed under: Sylvirana faber
Lineage: Eukaryota; Metazoa; Chordata; Amphibia; Anura; Ranidae
Description: partial 16S ribosomal RNA
Rfam family: Archaeal large subunit ribosomal RNA (bases 344-591)
Source: RNAcentral